GUGUCAGCAGCCGCGGUAAUACGAAGGGGGCUAGCGUUGCUCGGAAUCACUGGGCGUAAAGGGCGCGUAGGCGGAUCUUUAAGUCGGGGGUGAAAGCCCAGGGCUCAACCCUGGAAUUGCCUUCGAUACUGAAGAUCUCGAGACCGGAAGAGGUAAGUGGAACUGCGAGUGUAGAGGUGAAAUUCGUAGAUAUUCGCAAGAACACCAGUGGCGAAGGCGGCUUACUGGUCCGGUUCUGACGCUGAGGCGCGAAAGCGUGGGGAGCAAACAGGAUUAGAAACCCCUGUAGUCC
RNAcentral lists this ribosomal RNA (292 nucleotides) under uncultured bacterium. RNAcentral describes it as "partial 16S ribosomal RNA". It matches the Rfam family "Bacterial small subunit ribosomal RNA", at positions 505 to 796 of the family's 1533-position model. The record is from RNAcentral.